AUCUCUCAUACCAUGAUCACUAUCAUAGAUACACCAUUAUCAUGACUAUCCCAGUCAUAAACGAAAUCAUGAGCAUCAUCGUACCAUAAACACCACAGUGAAAAGAAUCAGUCACACUCAUGUAUCCUACCUUACUGAUUGUAACCGCUCCUACAACCCCAUUUACAGAUUCCCCAUGCAGAUAUAUUUGAGUAGUCCUACAAUCUAGCUAAGGAACAUGUAAUUUUGCCACACAAGGACAAGGAAGACACCUUCACACCCACACAAGGAAGGCUUAAUACCCGAAUAACCCUUCCAAUGCACACA
This 306-nucleotide long non-coding RNA is filed under the name Vigna radiata. RNAcentral's name for it is "long non-coding RNA (VRAD_LNC002010)". Lineage: Eukaryota; Viridiplantae; Streptophyta; Magnoliopsida; Fabales; Fabaceae. The record is from RNAcentral.